RNAcentral lists this ribosomal RNA (369 nucleotides) under uncultured Pelotomaculum sp. Its description in RNAcentral is "bacterial SSU rRNA". It matches the Rfam family "Bacterial small subunit ribosomal RNA", at positions 1016 to 1382 of the family's 1533-position model. Lineage: Bacteria; Bacillati; Bacillota; Clostridia; Eubacteriales; Desulfotomaculaceae. The record is from RNAcentral.
ACCCUCGGGUGGACAGGGAGACAGGUGGUGCAUGGUUGUCGUCAGCUCGUGUCGUGAGAUGUUGGGUUAAGUCCCGCAACGAGCGCAACCCCUACGUUUAGUUGCUAACGCGUGAAGGCGAGCACUCUAGACGAACUGCCGUUGACAAAACGGAGGAAGGUGGGGAUGACGUCAAAUCAUCAUGCCCCUUAUGUUCUGGGCUACACACGUGCUACAAUGGCCGGUACAGACGGACGCAAAGCCGCGAGGCGGAGCAAAUCCGAAAAAGCCGGUCUCAGUUCGGAUUGCAGGCUGCAAUUCGCCUGCAUGAAGUCGGAAUCGCUAGUAAUCGCAGGUCAGCAUACUGCGGUGAAUACGUUCCCGGGCCUU